This 433-nucleotide ribosomal RNA is filed under the name uncultured bacterium. RNAcentral describes it as "partial 16S ribosomal RNA". It matches the Rfam family "Bacterial small subunit ribosomal RNA", at positions 29 to 507 of the family's 1533-position model. The record is from RNAcentral.
AACGAACGCUGGCGGCAUGCCUAACACAUGCAAGUCGAACGAGACCUUCGGGUCUAGUGGCGCACGGGUGCGUAACGCGUGGGAAUCUGCCCUUGGGUUCGGAAUAACAGUUUGAAACGACUGCUAAUACCGGAUGAUGACGUAAGUCCAAAGAUUUAUCGCCCAAGGAUGAGCCCGCGUAGGAUUAGCUAGUUGGUGAGGUAAAGGCUCGCCAAGGCGACGAUCCUUAGCUGGUCUGAGAGGAUGAUCAGCCACACUGGGACUUAGACACGGCCCAGACUGCUACGGGAGGGAGCAGAAGAGAAUAUAAGGCGAUGGGGGAAAGCCUGGUCCAGCCAUGCCCCGGAAGUGAGGAAGGCCUUAGGGUUGUGAAGCUCUUUUACCCGAGACGAUAAUGACAGUACCGGGAGAAUAAGCUCCGGCUAACUACGUG